Molecule: transfer RNA, 76 nt
Filed under: Gemmobacter caeni
Lineage: Bacteria; Pseudomonadati; Pseudomonadota; Alphaproteobacteria; Rhodobacterales; Paracoccaceae
Description: tRNA-Gly
Rfam family: tRNA
About the family: Transfer RNA (tRNA) molecules are approximately 80 nucleotides in length. Their secondary structure includes four short double-helical elements and three loops (D, anti-codon, and T loops).
Source: RNAcentral
AGUCCGGUGCCGAAUUUUGGUUACGGGGCGUAAUUCCGAUGUGUAGCUUAUAUAGGUUCAAAUCCUAUCCGGCCCG